CCAGAGCACGUGGCACAGGAUUGUGUCCAAAUGCUUCUUGAAUAUCUCCAGUGAGACAGACUGCACAACCUCUCUGGGCAACCUGUUUCAGUGCAUGGUUACUUGCAUAGUAAAGAAGUUAUUGCUCAUAUUCAGGUGGAACUUCCUGUGCAUCAGUUUCUGCCCGUUGCCUCUUGUCCUAUUGAUUGGCACCACCAAGAAGAGCCUGGCUUCAUUCCCUUUUGGGGAUACUUACUGAAAGUAUGAGGGAUACUUUCAGAUACUUACUGAUAAAAUCAAAAUACAAGUAACUGUAGCCUGAGUUAAACAGCAGGUAGAGGUAGAGAUUAUCUUCCACCUGUGAAGACCAAAGACAUGGAGUAGCUUGUGGUACAUCACUGUGAAGAGUUGGGGUGGGAACCUCUCAUUUUUCUGGCACUAUGCAAAGAAAAAGCAUCUCCCCUUUGCCCCUGGACCAUUAUGCGCAAAGCAUCUAGCUGGCUGAAACUUCACUUUCCUCUGGGAGCAAUAUUGUAGAGAAUUGUAUCUUCUCUAGUGUACAAAAUUGCUCUGACAGCUUAUCACUGCUUGUUUAACAGCUGACUGUUCUCACUUUCUUUAGGCGCUAGAUAAUAAGCACAGUGAAACAAUUAUCGUGCUCCAUUGAUGCGCUAACCCUCAAAGCCUCUUUGCUGUUGAGUUCCAAAAACCAGCUUCAUUCACUCUUAAUUGAGGUUUGUCUUCCAGAGCUUCUGAAGGAUGAUGAUUCUUCAAUCAUAGCAGCCACAAUUAUAUUCACUGAGUCAUGGACAGUUAUUUUCAACAGACCUACCUAUAACGCUUUGGCAUAAGUUAAAGGUGAUGGCUAAAUCUCUUCAUUUCAUCAAAAUUUUGCGCAUAGAAGUGUAGGACUGGAAAAAAACAAAACAAAACUGCUGGAUCAGAGUGCACUCUUCUCUAGCUGCAGAAAACAAAACAAUAGACAUUAAUUUCAGGAUUGGAGAAUACCUCUUUCAUCUCUCUCCACAUACCAAGGGCCACAGGGCCAACUUCCUGUCAAGAUUUGAAAACUUUAAAAUUUUGGUAGAAGAUGAAAAGCCACUGUGAUAGUUGGAUUACAAGAAGAUCAUAAGAGAGAUCAAGAGUACCACCAGUGUCUUAGAUACUUUCAAAGAUAAAGACUGAACUCGAAAAAUAAUCUUCCACUGUGUUUACAGUUGUGGGGUUUGGUGAUCCAUAUGAAUUCUCCAUUCCUUGGGUUUAUUUAAGGUAAAGCAGAAUGUCAACCUCUUUUCAGUUACCUCAAGAAACAGAUAACAUGAUACAUUUCCCCCAGCUCUCCUUUAUUUCUGUUUAAUAGACCUAAAGCUGUCCAACAAUGGCUUGCCAUAUCCUGGGCUGCAUCGUUUUUAGCAGAACUCUCUUCCAGCUCAUGUUCAUGAGCUCAAAAAUGUAAGUCACAGACAUCCUAAUUGAGGAUGCAGGUUGCUCUGUAAUUAAUCCUGGAACGGGCACCAGGAAGUCAAAUAGAAUCCGUCAAUCUAAAUUUAGUUGUUAAAAGUCUGGAAAAAUACCUCAUACUUUUAGAGUUCCGUGAGAAUUAUCUGCUCAGCCCUGGAAGUAGUUUUAGGAAAAGGCUGAGUUUACUUGAAAUGCAACUCAAACUCACUUGAAUCCUUCAACAGCCACUUCAAAAUAGAGAAGGCUCUUGGCACUGUGUCUGAUGGAGCAGAAGGUCUGUGCUAAAACCUUGCUUGUAGGCAACCCUGUGUGCUACUGCUCUCCAGUUGUGGGAACUGCACUCGGUUGUGUUACCAAAACACCUGCCUAAGUGGUCAGCUGGAUCUUCCUCAUUGCAAGACUCUUCUCUGCUACGUAGGGUGGCAGUGUUGGCUGUGCUUUCUGGGAGGACCUAUUUUGGGAACAACCAUGCUCCAGGAAGCCGCUGGGACUUACCAGCCCCUGGGAGGAUGCUGAGAGCAGAUAAAAUAGAAACAGCUUGCGAGGAGCUCUGUGGCACUGCUGAGAACCUGGAUCAGAUUAUCACCUGGACUCAGCUUGCCCUUGUGGAAUCUAUCUUUGGAAGUAGUGGCAGCAGUGCUGGAGUCAGUAUUGUGCAGCUACAAAGGAUGGAACUGUCAAAGUGGAUUUGGAGCUGGAUUUGAAGAUCGUUUUAAAUUUGUAAAUUUAAAAGUGGAGAAGUAUGCCUGCAGGUUUCCAAUAAAAAAGUGGAGGCAUCACUUUUGGUACAUCCUCUGGACUAAAAGACUCUUGACAUCAGCGAAAUAAAGCUGGAUGUGACUGGGAAAUGACCUGGUGUAAGGCACCUUAAACUCAGCCUGGCAGGUGACUUUGGCAUUGUUUUGCUGUGUGGGGCUACGUACGCACGUAGGAAGUUCACAGGGGAGAUUUUUCAAGUUUUCCUUUCCUGGAGAGUGAUCUGUAAACAUGCUGUCAAAGCCAAGCAUUUGAUUUUUCUGUUGUCCUCACAGCAACAUGCUGAGGAUCAGCUGUGCGCCAUGGCCUUCCCCCCUUCAGAAAACUUGGAGAUUUCAAGGAGGGAAUUGUAAUCCAUUGUUGGAUACCAGUUCUGUCGGGUUUCCUUCUCUGCUGAAAACAGCCAACAGGAAAGUAAUUACAGAAGCAGAUGUGACUUGUGACGUAAAUGUUACUUCUGGCCAUUUUUUGCCUUUUUUUUUUAACUAUUCCAACAGGGUGAUUCCAAAGCAAAAGUCAACUGGUACACGAGACACAUGGGCCUAUGGUGGCAAUUUCAAGCUUUUUCUUGGCUCAGUCAGGUCCAGGGACAGUUUGCAAUACCUUACCAAUCAUUUUUUCAAAUUAAAUUAGUCAGUAAGAGAAAUUUUCAGAGCAGCCUCAAUAUAUGCAUCCCAUGUAACUGCCUGCAAUGAAUCCCACUACUCUGUCCUCUGACUUACUGAUGUCUCUGUCCUGAGCAAGAUAUUGAAGUGUUGCUUGUAAUUCCUUUGGAGUAAUAAAUCAGUAAGUAUUUUCCAUCUCA
Long non-coding RNA from Neopelma chrysocephalum (saffron-crested tyrant-manakin), 3001 nucleotides. RefSeq lists it as uncharacterized. The record is from RefSeq and is a predicted model, not a curated record. The transcript has 5 exons. NCBI's taxonomy places the organism in Eukaryota, Metazoa, Chordata, Aves, Passeriformes, Pipridae.